RNAcentral lists this ribosomal RNA (115 nucleotides) under Alphaproteobacteria bacterium. The record is from RNAcentral. Lineage: Bacteria; Pseudomonadati; Pseudomonadota; Alphaproteobacteria. RNAcentral also lists the same sequence under 1 other name.
ACUGGUGGUCCUAGCGGAGGAAUUCCACCCGAUCCCAUUCCGAACUCGGCCGUUAAAGCCUCCAGCGCCCAUGGUACUGCGGCCCAAGCCGCGGGAGAGUAGGUCGCUGCCAGUC